This 847-nucleotide ribosomal RNA is filed under the name Sordaria clematidis. RNAcentral's name for it is "SSU rRNA". It matches the Rfam family "Eukaryotic small subunit ribosomal RNA", at positions 250 to 1103 of the family's 1831-position model. The record is from RNAcentral. Lineage: Eukaryota; Fungi; Ascomycota; Sordariomycetes; Sordariales; Sordariaceae.
UUCAUGAUAACUUCUCGAAUCGCACGGCCUUGCGCCGGCGAUGGUUCAUUCAAAUUUCUGCCCUAUCAACUUUCGACGGCUGGGUCUUGGCCAGCCAUGGUGACAACGGGUAACGGAGGGUUAGGGCUCGACCCCGGAGAAGGAGCCUGAGAAACGGCUACUACAUCCAAGGAAGGCAGCAGGCGCGCAAAUUACCCAAUCCCGACACGGGGAGGUAGUGACAAUAAAUACUGAUACAGGGCUCUUUUGGGUCUUGUAAUUGGAAUGAGUACAAUUUAAAUCCCUUAACGAGGAACAAUUGGAGGGCAAGUCUGGUGCCAGCAGCCGCGGUAAUUCCAGCUCCAAUAGCGUAUAUUAAAGUUGUUGAGGUUAAAAAGCUCGUAGUUGAACCUUGGGCCCAGCCGGCCGGUCCGCCUCACCGCGUGCACUGGCUCGGUUGGGCCUUUCCUUCUGGAGAACCGCAUGCCCUUCACUGGGUGUGUCGGGGAACCAGGACUUUUACUCUGAACAAAUUAGAUCGCUUAAAGAAGGCCUAUGCUCGAAUACAUUAGCAUGGAAUAAUAGAAUAGGACGUGUGGUUCUAUUUUGUUGGUUUCUAGGACCGCCGUAAUGAUUAAUAGGGACAGUCGGGGGCAUCAGUAUUCAAUUGUCAGAGGUGAAAUUCUUGGAUUUAUUGAAGACUAACUACUGCGAAAGCAUUUGCCAAGGAUGUUUUCAUUAAUCAGGAACGAAAGUUAGGGGAUCGAAGACGAUCAGAUACCGUCGUAGUCUUAACCAUAAACUAUGCCGAUUAGGGAUCGGACGAUGUUAUUUUUUGACUCGUUCGGCACCUUACGAUAAAUCAAAA